Molecule: ribosomal RNA, 516 nt
Filed under: uncultured bacterium
Lineage: Bacteria
Description: bacterial SSU rRNA
Rfam family: Bacterial small subunit ribosomal RNA
Source: RNAcentral
AAUCAACGCUGGCGGCGUGCCUCAGACAUGCAAGUCGAACGCGAAAUUUCCCUUCGGGGAGAAAGUAGAGUGGCGCACGGGUGAGUAACACGUAGGUAAUCUACCUUUGGAUGGGGAAUAACACCGAGAAAUCGGUGCUAAUACCGCAUAAUGCAGCGGCACCUAAUGGUGACAGUUGUUAAAGCGGGGGAUCGCAAGACCUCGCGUCUAAAGAGGAGCCUGCGGCGGAUUAGCUAGUUGGUAAGGUAAUGGCUUACCAAGGCGACGAUCCGUAACCGGCCUGAGAGGGCGGUCGGUCACACUGACACUGACAUACGGGUCAGACUCCUACGGGAGGCAGCAGUCGGGAAUUUUGGGCAAUGGGCGAAAGCCUGACCCAGCAACGCCGCGUGAAGGAUGAAAUCCCUCGGGAUGUAAACUUCGCAAGAACGGGAAGAGUAAGCCGGUGUGAAUGCCACCGGCGAUGACGGUACCGUUUGUAAGCUCCGGCUAACUCCGUGCCAGCAGCCGCGGUAA